GCGAGCAGGUGCGAAAGCAGGUCAUAGUGAUCCGGUGGUUCUGAAUGGAAGGGCCAUCGCUCAACGGAUAAAAGGUACUCCGGGGAUAACAGGCUGAUACCGCCCAAGAGUUCAUAUCGACGGCGGUGUUUGGCACCUCGAUGUCGGCUCAUCACAUCCUGGGGCUGAAGUAGGUCCCAAGGGUAUGGCUGUUCGCCAUUUAAAGUGGUACGCGAGCUGGGUUUAGAACGUCGUGAGACAGUUCGGUCCCUAUCUGCCGUGGGCGCUGGAGAACUGAGGGGGGCUGCUCCUAGUACGAGAGGACCGGAGUGGACGCAUCACUGGUGUUCGGGUUGUCAUGCCAAUGGCACUGCCCGGUAGCUAAAUGCGGAAGAGAUAAGUGCUGAAAGCAUCUAAGCACGAAACUUGCCCCGAGAUGAGUUCUCCCUGAGACUUAGAGUCUCCUGAAGGAACGUUGAAGACGACGACGUUGAUAGGCCGGGUGUGUAAGCGCAGCGAUGCGUUGAGCUAACCGGUACUAAUGAACCGUGAGGCUU
This 536-nucleotide ribosomal RNA is filed under the name Escherichia coli. RNAcentral describes it as "partial 23S ribosomal RNA". It matches the Rfam family "Bacterial large subunit ribosomal RNA", at positions 2389 to 2925 of the family's 2925-position model. Lineage: Bacteria; Pseudomonadati; Pseudomonadota; Gammaproteobacteria; Enterobacterales; Enterobacteriaceae. The record is from RNAcentral.